Molecule: long non-coding RNA, 259 nt
Filed under: Hordeum vulgare
Lineage: Eukaryota; Viridiplantae; Streptophyta; Magnoliopsida; Poales; Poaceae
Description: long non-coding RNA (HVUL_LNC014128)
Source: RNAcentral
CGCCACCUACUUAAAGACCACAAGUGCAUCGGCAGCAGCAUCGUCUCAUGCACACACCAACAAUGGAGAGCAAGUAGGAUCGAUCUACGCCAUCACAUAACCAAGAAGUGCUCUGGCACUCGCACCUCUCUCCUGCUCGGGCUGGCGGUGCAUGUCGUGGCCGUGAAGGGGGCCGUGUCUACUGGGGCUGCAGGCAGCAGAACCAUGUUGCAUGUUCAUGGGUGUGGGAGGCAUCGGGUACAUGCUAGGCGUCGCGGGG